This 381-nucleotide ribosomal RNA is filed under the name uncultured Streptococcus sp. Its description in RNAcentral is "bacterial SSU rRNA". It matches the Rfam family "Bacterial small subunit ribosomal RNA", at positions 1000 to 1382 of the family's 1533-position model. The record is from RNAcentral. Lineage: Bacteria; Bacillati; Bacillota; Bacilli; Lactobacillales; Streptococcaceae.
CUAGAGAUAGAAAGUUACUUCGGUACAUCGGUGACAGGUGGUGCAUGGUUGUCGUCAGCUCGUGUCGUGAGAUGUUGGGUUAAGUCCCGCAACGAGCGCAACCCCUAUUGUUAGUUGCCAUCAUUCAGUUGGGCACUCUAGCGAGACUGCCGGUAAUAAACCGGAGGAAGGUGGGGAUGACGUCAAAUCAUCAUGCCCCUUAUGACCUGGGCUACACACGUGCUACAAUGGUUGGUACAACGAGUUGCGAGUCGGUGACGGCGAGCUAAUCUCUUAAAGCCAAUCUCAGUUCGGAUUGUAGGCUGCAACUCGCCUACAUGAAGUCGGAAUCGCUAGUAAUCGCGGAUCAGCACGCCGCGGUCGAAUACGUUCCCGGGCCUU